RNAcentral lists this ribosomal RNA (253 nucleotides) under uncultured bacterium. RNAcentral describes it as "partial 16S ribosomal RNA". It matches the Rfam family "Bacterial small subunit ribosomal RNA", at positions 524 to 776 of the family's 1533-position model. The record is from RNAcentral.
UACGUAGGGGGCUAGCGUUGUCCGGAUUUAUUGGGCGUAAAGAGCGUGUAGGCGGCUUGGCAAGUCUGCUGUGAAAACUCGAGGCUCAACCUCGAGCUGUCGGCGGAAACUGCCUGGCUAGAGUCCGGAAGAGGAGAGUGGAAUUCCUGGUGUAGCGGUGAAAUGCGCAGAUAUCAGGAAGAACACCUAUGGCGAAGGCAGCUCUCUGGGACGGUACUGACGCUGAGACGCGAAAGCGUGGGGAGCGAACAGG